This is a long non-coding RNA of Brienomyrus brachyistius, 314 nucleotides long. RefSeq lists it as uncharacterized. The transcript is spliced from 3 exons. Lineage: Eukaryota; Metazoa; Chordata; Actinopteri; Osteoglossiformes; Mormyridae. The record is from RefSeq and is a predicted model, not a curated record.
GGACGAGCAGACAGUCACAAAGAAGAUUAACAGCGGUGAAAAGGAAAGACAAUGGGCAAAGUGACUAUGAGAAAGAGGGACAGGGGAGGUUAAAGGGCUAUCAGAGCAGGGGCAGGCAGGGGGACAGGGGAGGUUAAAGGGCUAUCAGAGCAGGGGCAGGCAGGGGGACAGGGGAGGUUAAAGGGCUAUCAGAGCAGGGGCAGGCAGGGGGACAGGGGAGGUUAAAGGGCUAUCAGAGCAGGGGCAGGCAGGGGGACAGGGGAGGUUAAAGGGCUAUCAGAGCAGGGGCAGGCAGGGGGACAGGGGAGGUUAAA